This is a long non-coding RNA of Syzygium oleosum, 501 nucleotides long. RefSeq lists it as uncharacterized. Lineage: Eukaryota; Viridiplantae; Streptophyta; Magnoliopsida; Myrtales; Myrtaceae. The transcript has 2 exons. The record is from RefSeq and is a predicted model, not a curated record.
UCACUCCAUCAAAAACAAAUCAAACAUGAAUGUCAAGAGUUGUACCAUAUUAGUGAUGCUGGUCGCCACAAUGGCAUCGCAGGCAGUAGUCACUGAGGCAAGAUCUGAAGAAUGGUGUCAAAUCUUGUGCUCGUGGAAAUGUCUUAUAUUCCCUCAUCCACAUGCCUGCGCUUUCCAAUGCAUGGUAAACUGCGUCCAUCCAUCGGUGGUCGAGACACUCAUAGGCCAUUGCAAUCUUGAUUGCGUGAUGUCCAAAUGUUUCGACCCGCAUUCUGAUGCCAAGAAAGUCGAAGGUUGUGUGAAUUCAUGCUCAAAAGGUUGCGAUAAAUCUUAAGCCACUCAAGAGUUCGGAGGAUCGUAUUCGCAAUUGAAGUCAAAUAAUAAAGCGUGUACACACGGAAAAGAAAUUGUUGUUUAGUUAAUUAAUUGCCAUUGGGUGUCUAAUCAAUUUCAUUGUAUUGAGUUGAUUGAUCAAUGAUAGAUAUAUGAUGAGUUGGCCUU